UACGUGACACUUAGCACAUACUGCUCUCAGAGGCCCCAGAUGGAUCAUUAAUGCUCGGAACGUGCGUGCUUUAUGGAGAAACCGCCUAAUCAACGGAGGCCCAUUCUGAAAGAAAAAGGAAGUUCUCGUCGCAGAAAGAAAAUAAUACCAAAGGGAAACAAAAUUUCAAGAAGGAAUAAAGAACAGUGGAAGAGUAAAUAUGAAGACCAAGAGCAGUGAUGACCUUUUAGCUGGAAUGGCCAGAGGGGUAACGGUGACUAAUGGUGUUAAAGGGAAGGAAAGCUCCUGCCCAUCUGCAGCACCUUCGGCAUCUGCCCCUGCCAUGACCACUGUGGAGAACAAAUCCAAGAUUAGCACAGGGCACCAACUGGACAGAGGCCUCCGGUCAGCCUCACUCUGACUGCAACCCCCUCUCACUGGACAGCAUCACCUGGACACAGAGCCUCACCUAGUCUGUGUCCCAUGGACACAACUUUGCUUUGGACAGUGACACCAAGAAUACUCACCCCUUUACUUAGCCAGACCACAGGCAGCCACCUGGACACAAACAUCUCUCCAGAGUCAGCCUCCACACAGACUCCAC
This 583-nucleotide long non-coding RNA is filed under the name Homo sapiens (human). Its description in RNAcentral is "non-protein coding lnc-DGCR6-6:27". Lineage: Eukaryota; Metazoa; Chordata; Mammalia; Primates; Hominidae. The record is from RNAcentral.